UCCGUGGGUCCAGUAGUCCAAUCUCUAACCAAGUUCGUCAUCAUGAGUAGCACCAGUUCGUGAUUUCGUAAGCGCGUGGUAGAAGCCGGGGAGUAAUCACCGGGGGCUUGCCUCGCUAUCGGCAGCAAUUUGUUGCGACGAUCCGUCUGUGAACACGCGACAAGCGUGACAACGACUCGCUCGCGGAUGAUCUGGGCAUCGCGCACGCGAAACGAGGUUCCCGCACUUCUCCGAGGACGAGGAUCAUGUAUACCGUGUCUAAGGGACCUAGCAAGAUCGUAGCGAAAACACGACGAGGGAUCAGUCAGAAACUCGAGAGGCUGGAAACUCUACGUGAUAUGACGAGGAAGGCCGAUCCCGAGGAUCCCGACCACGAGGUCACCCGUAAUGUACCAAAGCCGGUCUUCCAUAUAAACGGGAAAUCGAAGCUCAUCUCACAGCGACAUCAGAUGCAAGAAGACAUUUCGCCGCAACACAAGGAACUUGUCUUAUUUAUUAGACAAUCAUGGAAUCAAGUUAGUACACUGCAAAGAUGCGAGUGUUGCAAUGGCACAGAAUGUACAGAAUUUUGCAAUCCUAAUUCCAUAGUAUAUUACAAUGAUGGUGAACCAAACAAUAGCCUUCAAGACUUCAAACCAUUUGAUUUGGAAUCUUGGUGGGGCAAACGAUUGUUUAACAACAUCACGAAGUCGCUCUGAAAUAUUCAAAAAAUCUGAAAGCGGUUUCCUAAGGAUGUACUUGAAAGUAGUCUAAAAUAUGGGGCAACUGAUGUGUGAGAGGAAGUUCAAGAUUCUAGAUCGAAUCCUAUCAAAUUGUUCGUAUAUAACUACGAUCGCAUCACACUAUUUGUUACAAGGCAAUACAUUAAUACAUAUAUAUCCGCGAGCUUCGAGAAUGCACACGUGUACGCAAUAAUAGUAAUACUGUUAUUAAUUAUAAAAUUGUUUACUGUCAAAUUGUUAAUAACAAUUGUUGUUUAUAUGCAUUUGUUAACGCGAUCUUUCUAAUUUUUGGAAUAUAGAUAACAUAAUUCUUUUGUUGCUCUAUUGAAUUAGAAUUGCUCAAUUUUAAUAGCGUACAGAGAAUUGUCAUUCUCGUACAAAGAGCUUCGAAAUGUAGCAGCAGCAAAGUUUUGCGAAACUUUCAGUAGACAAUAAGUAGAAUAAUGCAAGAUAUGCGAAUGCAAACGUCCCUCGUAUUAGAAAAGAUACAUAUUAAGUCCUGAUUAGGUUUUAAAAACACAAACCGAAGCCCCGAGGACGUCAUACAGUGUAUACCAAUGGAUAUACCAAAAUAUUUAAAUACAAAGGCCCCGUGCUGUGCGGUAUGAAUCCUGCGUGAGGUUGAUGAAUUUUUUAAUCUUAGAAAAUGUAUAUAUUGCAUGCAAUGGUCGCGUGAAUGCAUGACAAUGUUACGGGUAUUGUUACGACGAUUAUGUCCGAAUAUACUUUUAUGUAUGAGCAAGGGUUUAGCAUAAAUUCGUAGACUGAUAAUAUGUAAGAAAGUUAUCAUAUUGUUAUUCGCUGAAAGUCACAUUAUUCGCGUUAGCUUGCAGUAAUAGGAGUCCAUUGCAGAGUUUGCUCAUCAAAUUGUUAUAUUAUGGCAGAUUAAAUUGUUUCUUCCUCGCAUUAUUACGUAUUUGUCGGGCCACUAUACAUAUAUAUAUAGAGCUCCGAUUAAUGACAAUUUAAAUGCCACAAUAUAUCACGCGUCUGACAAAGCAAAGUUCGCAAGAGUAGUCGUAAUGUAGCAUAAAUCAAAUUUGGCCACGCGUGGCUGAAUUACACAUGAUCAUGAAUAAAUCUCUUUAUACACACAA
This 1819-nucleotide unclassified non-coding RNA is filed under the name Camponotus floridanus (Florida carpenter ant). RNAcentral's name for it is "mAPK regulated corepressor interacting protein 2, transcript variant X2". The record is from RNAcentral. Lineage: Eukaryota; Metazoa; Arthropoda; Insecta; Hymenoptera; Formicidae.